This 253-nucleotide ribosomal RNA is filed under the name uncultured bacterium. RNAcentral describes it as "partial 16S ribosomal RNA". It matches the Rfam family "Bacterial small subunit ribosomal RNA", at positions 524 to 776 of the family's 1533-position model. The record is from RNAcentral.
UACAGAGGGCUCAAGCGUUGUUCGGAUUCAUUGGGCGUAAAGGGUGCGUAGGCGGCGCGGUAAGUCGGGUGUGAAAUCUCGGAGCUUAACUCCGAAAUUGCAUUCGAUACUGCCGUGCUUGAGGACUGGAGAGGAGACUGGAAUUCAUGGUGUAGCAGUGAAAUGCGUAGAGAUCAUGAGGAAGACCAGUGGCGAAGGCGGGUCUCUGGACAGUUCCUGACACUGAGGCACGAAGGCCAGGGGAGCAAACGGG